GUAGGUGGGCAAGCGUUGUCCGGAAUUAUUGGGCGUAAAGCGCGCGCAGGGCGGUCCUUUAAGUCUGAUGUGAAAGCCCACGGCUCAACCGUGGAGGGUCAUUGGAAACUGGGGGACUUGAGUACAGAAGAGGAAAGCGGAAUUCCAAGUGUAGCGGUGAAAUGCGUAGAGAUUUGGAGGAACACCAGUGGCGAAGGCGGCUUUCUGGUCUGUAACUGACGCUGAGGCGCGAAAGUGUGGGGAGCAAACAGGAUUAGAUACCCUGGUAGUCCACGCCGUAAACGAUGAGUGCUAAGUGUUAGGGGGUUUCCGCCCCUUAGUGCUGCAGCUAACGCAUUAAGCACUCCGCCUGGGGAGUACGGCCGCAAGGCUG
This 373-nucleotide ribosomal RNA is filed under the name uncultured organism. RNAcentral describes it as "partial 16S ribosomal RNA". It matches the Rfam family "Bacterial small subunit ribosomal RNA", at positions 526 to 896 of the family's 1533-position model. The record is from RNAcentral.